AAAGCUCAAAUUUGAAAUCUGGCAGUUUCUUGAACUGUCCGAAUUGUAAUCUAGAGAAGUGUUACCUGUGCUGGACCAUGUACAAGUCUCCUGGAAUGGAGCAUCACAGAGGGUGAGAAUCCCGUCUUUGACAUGGACUGCCUGUGCGAUAUGGUGCGCUCUCGAAGAGUCGAGUUGUUUGGGAAUGCAGCUCAAAAUGGGUGGUAAAUGCCAUCUAAAGCUAAAUAUUGGCGAGAGACCGAUAGCGAA
This 249-nucleotide ribosomal RNA is filed under the name Inocybe fuscidula. Its description in RNAcentral is "partial large subunit ribosomal RNA". It matches the Rfam family "Eukaryotic large subunit ribosomal RNA", at positions 104 to 344 of the family's 3401-position model. The record is from RNAcentral. Lineage: Eukaryota; Fungi; Basidiomycota; Agaricomycetes; Agaricales; Inocybaceae.